Molecule: ribosomal RNA, 281 nt
Filed under: uncultured prokaryote
Description: partial 16S ribosomal RNA
Rfam family: Bacterial small subunit ribosomal RNA
Source: RNAcentral
UACGUAGGGGGCUAGCGUUAUCCGGAAUUACUGGGCGUAAAGGGUGCGUAGGUGGUUUCUUAAGUCAGAGGUGAAAGGCUACGGCUCAACCGUAGUAAGCCUUUGAAACUGAGAAACUUGAGUGCAGGAGAGGGAAGUGGAAUUUCUAGUGUAGCGGUGGAAUGCGUAGAUAUUAGGAAGAACACCAGUGGCGAAGGCGGCUUCCUGGACUGUAACUGACGCUGAGGCACGAAAGCGUGGGUAGCAAACAGGAUUAGAUACCCGUGUAGUCCCUGAGCGGG